CUCAGAUUGAACGCUGGCGGCAGGCCUAACACAUGCAAGUCGAACGGUAACAGGAAGAAGCUUGCUCUUGCUGACGAGUGGCGGACGGGUGAGUAAUGUCUGGGAAACUGCCUGAUGGAGGGGGAUAACUACUGGAAACGGUAGCUAAUACCGCAUAACGUCGCAAGACCAAAAAGGGGGGACCUUCGGGCCUCUUGCCAUCGGAUGUGCCCAGAUGGGAUUAGCUAGUAGGUGGGGUAACGGCUCACCUAGGCGACGAUCCCUAGCUGGUCUGAGAGGAUGACCAGCCACACUGGAACUGAGACACGGUCCAGACUCCUACGGGAGGCAGCAGUGGGGAAUAUUGCACAAUGGGCGCAAGCCUGAUGCAGCCAUGCCGCGUGUAUGAAGAAGGCCUUCGGGUUGUAAAGUACUUUCAGCGGGGAGGAAGGGAGUAAAGUUAAUACCUUUGCUCAUUGACGUUACCCGCAGAAGAAGCACCGGCUAACUCCGUG
This 494-nucleotide ribosomal RNA is filed under the name uncultured bacterium. Its description in RNAcentral is "bacterial SSU rRNA". It matches the Rfam family "Bacterial small subunit ribosomal RNA", at positions 23 to 507 of the family's 1533-position model. The record is from RNAcentral.